This 168-nucleotide ribosomal RNA is filed under the name uncultured eukaryote. Its description in RNAcentral is "partial 18S rRNA". It matches the Rfam family "Eukaryotic small subunit ribosomal RNA", at positions 1487 to 1650 of the family's 1831-position model. The record is from RNAcentral.
CUGCACGCGCGCUACACUGAUAUGUUCACCGAGCUUAUUUUACACCUUGCCUGGAAGGGUUGGGUAAUCUCUAAAACCGUAAUCGUGAUGGGGAUAGAUUAUUGUAAUUUUUGAUCUUCAACGAGGAAUUCCUAGUAAACGUGCGUCAGCAUCGCGCAUUGAUUACGU